GAAAGAUUCAUCGGAAGAGGAUGGGCAUGCGGCGCAUUAGCUAGACGGCGGGGUAACGGCCCACCGUGGCGACGAUGCGUAGGGGUUCUGAGAGGAAGGUCCCCCACACUGGUACUGAGACACGGACCAGACUCCUACGGGAGGCAGCAGUGAGGAAUAUUGGUCAAUGGGAGAGAUCCUGAACCAGCCAAGCCGCGUGAGGGAAGACGGCCCUAUGGGUUGUAAACCUCUUUUGUCGGAGAACAAAACCCGGGACGAGUCCCGGACUGCGUGUAUCCGAAGAAAAAGCAUCGGCUAACUCCGUGCCAGCAGCCGCGGUAAUACGGAGGAUGCGAGCGUUAUCCGGAUUUAUUGGGUUUAAAGGGUGCGUAGGCGGUCUGUUAAGUCAGCGGUAAAAUUGCGGGGCUCAACCCCGUCGAGCCGUUGAAACUGGCAGACUUGAGUUGGCGAGAAGUACGCGGAAUGCGCGGUGUAGCGGUGAAAUGCAUAGAUAUCGCGCAGAACUCCGAUUGCGAAGGCAGCGUACCGGCGCCAGACUGACGCUGAGGCACGAAAGCGUGGGGAUCGAACAGGAUUAGAUACCCUGGUAGUCCACGCAGUAAACGAUGAAUGCUGGUUGUCCGGGUCGAAUGAGAUCUGG
RNAcentral lists this ribosomal RNA (640 nucleotides) under uncultured bacterium. Its description in RNAcentral is "bacterial SSU rRNA". It matches the Rfam family "Bacterial small subunit ribosomal RNA", at positions 202 to 842 of the family's 1533-position model. The record is from RNAcentral.